Molecule: long non-coding RNA, 4300 nt
Organism: Rhinopithecus roxellana (golden snub-nosed monkey)
Lineage: Eukaryota; Metazoa; Chordata; Mammalia; Primates; Cercopithecidae
Exons: 2
Source: RefSeq, a predicted model, not a curated record
GCCAGACAGCCGGGAGGCGGAGAUGAAAGGGGCAGGCGGCCCCGCCCUGCUGCAGCCCCCGAGAGGUCGGAGGCGCGGAGCCAGGGCUGACCCUGUGCACUGGGUCGGGGGCCAGGCCGCGUCUCAGCCUGCGCUGGACCCACCACCCGGGCAGAAAAGUGACAUCAGAACCUUAGGCUCCGUUGUCAACCACGGUGACUGAUGUCACCUCGUUUGCACAGGGAGGAAGGUGUGGCCCAGCGAGGCGUCCUCCCGUCCUAGUCAGGGUCUGCUCUGGGUGGGAGGGAUUGUGGGACCCCCUCUCCAGUGGCUGUCACAGCCUAAGCUGGUGAGCUGUUUCUAGCCAGAGUGCCCCUUCGGUGAAGUCUAAAGCCACGAGAUGACAACGGCAGCUGCCGUGUAUUGAAAAGCACGUGCCAGGCCAUCCUGGACUUACCCGUAAAUGUGUUAUCUCAGUAAUUCUGGCAGCUAUAUUAACGUGCAUGCCAGCCCCUUUCACAGAUGAGGGGCCGAGGUCAGAGAAGCAGCUUGCCAGAGGCUCUGAAGGGCAAAGGGGCACAGCCUAGAUUUGUACCCAGAUCCCUGAUUCUGAAUCUCAGCGGUUAGCCUGUGCGCGGACCCGGCAUCCUGUGGUAAUAGUUACCCUUCAAUAGGUGUAGCUGCUUGUCAGCUCCGUUGAUUACCUUAGCUCACUGCUGCCUCCUCGAGUUGGAAGACCUGCUUACCCAGAGCUAAGCCCCUCUCCCAGCAUCCCUGAGCUUGACCCAAGUUCCCUGGAGAUUCCCACCCACCUGUUACCCCAGAUCUCCCAAUACUGUGCCUCCCUUUGCUUGAGGUGGGAAAGGAUGCCCUCUGCCCAGGAUCUGAAUGGCCGGUGUGUAGCGCCAAGCCUGCUGGGCCUGUGGUGGCAGAGCUGCAAGUGCACGACAGAACACACCCAGGGUGCUCACACACAGUGCCAAGCCGGCCCCCAGGGUGCUCACUCACAGUGCCAAGCCGGCCCCCAGGGUGCCGAGGCUGCCUCUCCCCUCUGUACCCCGCCCUCCCUUGUAAUGCAGAGGAGGCAGUCUGGCGUUUUCUGGCAGAGGGGGAAAGUCUUGACUUUCCAGGUAGGUGUAUGCUGGACGUCAGCAGCAGACAGGGCACCCCAGCACAAUGAGCCCGCAGCAGUCCAGACUUUCUAGCCUCCAAGUGUACCUCAGAGCGGAAGCUGCGCAUUUGAUUUGCUUUUGGCUCCGUAUUAAAGAACAAAGCAUGGAAACUGGACAGGCCCCUCUGUAAACAGAAAACACAUGUUUUCUGAGAGAAUGGGCACUUCCUCUCCUGGUUUCAUCUCCCAUGGACAGAGGUCUCCUUAGGCCCGCUGACUUCAAGACCAGGGAGGCUGCGGACAGAGGGCUGAGGGGAGGUGGUGAUUCUUCUUUGCUCAACUCAGGGAGCAGACACUCGCCUUCUUGAAUGGGGGCAAAGACAAGUGCUAGAGGUCUGCUUGGCAGUGGGGUGUGGUCUGAGGAGGGAGGCCCCUCAGAGACCUGAACAGGAAGUGGGGGUCUGGACCAUUUGUGUCCUCCAAGCACACUAGAAUCGUUUAGGGUUCUACCCGAACUAGCUCCAGGUGAACGUGUGUUCUUUGGAGCCUGCUAGCCACAAAUGGGCAGAGACCUCUAAUUCAGAUGAGAAGUCUGUGUCUGCAAAUAAUGGGCAUUCUGGCUGAAUACCCACUGCUGUGUGGCCUUGGGCAAGUUUCUUAACCUCUCUGGGCCUCACGUUUCUCAUCUGUAAAAGCAGGAUAACAGUAGUUAUUUAGGAUUACAUAAGAUCAUGGAAAUAGCCCCAUUGGACACAUAACUAGGAGCUAAUUAAUAAGUGAGCAAAAUCAAAUAUUGUCUCUGUUUCAAUGCUGAGCUAUUGUAGAGUGGCUCAGGAAUCCUCUACAGACUCCCAGGGUGCCCGUACUCCAAAGAGCACCUCCUCUUCCCCUGCCUUCUGUUGAGCACAACCACUCCCAGGCUUCUGUGACACCUUUCUGGAAGCAGCCAUUUUGCAGAGAGAUCAUCCUUUGAAUCUCCCCAGCAGCCUGAACUUUGUCCUUGAGGGGAGAUUUCAUUUGGGGAAAUCAUCAGACAUCCUUUAGGAUAAGUCUGCUGAAUGGAUGCUCAGAAGCCAAGCCAGGGCCUCCUGUCCGGGUCAGUCUGGCCUCAUGCGCUGAAGGCAGUAUAGAAAGGAUCUGGACUGGAUCAUCGCCACUGGUGUUGCUGCAGCAGGCCAGAGACAUGGUGCUGGGCCCCGGGACAGGGUGGUGAGGACAUCCCGGUUCCCACGAAAAGCAACCGCCUGGCAAGGCUGGAGCAGACAAAGAGGGAGUGAGGGGGUGUGGCUCGCUCCCCAAGUUUUUUGGCUCAGCUUCAGUGCUGGGUCAUUCUUGGGGACUGCUAUACCCACUGGGCACUGCAGAACCUCUGGUGCUUGUGGCACAGGGGAGUCGGGAGGAGCCCUGUCCCGGGACCAGACCUUCCCGUUUGGAGUACUGGGACCCAGUGGCCCUGUGCACCUUUCCUGAAGCUUCUGGGCCCCCAGUGGUCGAAUGCAGAGUGAGCUGGGGAGUCACAGACUGUGCUUCCUGCCUUCAUCCUCCGUUCCAGGUUCCUGUGCAUUCGUGGGCCCAUCCACCUGCCUGGGCUUGGCUAGGCUGUGACCUUCUCUGAGGACAGGGCUCUGCCUGCAUUUGGAGCUGCUGGGACCUCAGUGUCACCCCCCACUCUCGCCAGCUGGCCUCACAAAGGUGCCCAGGAGGAGACCUGAUUGCCGGCUCCUUUCCCCUCCCUGGCUGAGCAGAUUCUACAACAGCCUGUGGAAAUUAAAAUAAGAGCCUAAAACUGUCAAAAAAAAUUUUUUUAACCAAGUCACAAAUGGGAAAGCUGAGGCGGCGGCAGGUUAAGGACACGUUGUGAUGUCGCGUUCUCUCCCAGUGCUUUCGUACUGUAAACAUCACAGUCCACGGUCCCUGUGAACAGGCAGCCACAGAGACUGGGUUUAGAGUUGCCGGGGGAAGGCUGCAUCCAAAGUGUGGCCGGCUCAGAACUAUUCCACCACAUGGGGGGUCAUUAGUUCUGCUCAGUUCUGUGGGGCCUCACUAGUGUUUCCAUUUAAAAAUAAGUCAAGGUAAAAGAAAAAGUUUUAAAAUGUAACAGUCAUGUAUCUAUUUCUGUAAUUGUAAAGAAAUACACUGUGACUGCUGGAGGCUCUGGAGCAGAGGACCUAGGAGAGAAUGUUUUCUUUUUCUUUCUUUCUUUUUUUCCCCCCCCGAAUUCUCCAAACCAUCUGUAACAGUGUGUAUUGCUUUUAUAAUGGGAAGAGAUAAAAUAUACUUACAUUAAAAAUAAUCAAAGUGCACCUGAGCCUACAUGUCAAAUGAUAAACGUGAUAAUCAAAGGCACUUUCUAUUUAUCAAAUACCUGGUUUAUGCCACAUCUCCUGCUAGGCCCUCCCAGCAUGCUGGCUCCUCAGAACACCCUGCAGGUGGGAGCUGACAGCCGGGUCCCUGAGGCAGCACUCAGCACCCACGUGGUAGAGCCAAGGCUGGACAGGGAUGACUCCAACUCCCAGGAUUGUAUUAUGCUUAUAACGACUUCCUGCCUGUUUGUAUUUAAGACAAGGUCUCUCACUGUAGCCUUGACCUCCCGGGCUUAAACAGUCCUUCCACCUCAGCCUCUGGAGUAGCUGGGAGUUACAGGUGCACACCACCAUGCUUGGCUAAUUUUUGUAUAUUUUGCAGAGACAGGGUUUCACUGUGUUGCCCAGGCUGGUCUGGAAUUCCUGGGCUCGUGCGAUCCACCAGCCUCAGCCUCCCAAAGUGCCAGGAUUACAGGCGUGAGCCACAACACCCAGCCCCUGUCUCUUAAAGGUGAACAUUUUCCCUAAAUACAGUGAUACUCAGUUCAAGUAUUUGUAUCUUACUUACAUAGAAUACGGAAUUAUUUCUGUAAACAGAAUUUAGUAAAAAAUAUAAAAAUCAGCCAGGUGUGUUGGCUUACGCCUGUAAUCCCAGCACUUUGGGAGGCCAAGGUAGGCAGAUCACAAGGUCAGGAGAUCGAGACCACCCUGGCCAACAUGGUGAAACCCUGACUCUACUAAAAAUAUAAAAAUUAACUGGGCAUGGUGGUGUAUACCUGGAGUCCCAGCUACUUGGGAGGCUGAGGCAGGAGAAUCACUUGAACCGGGGAGGCGGAGGUUGCAGUGAACCAAGAUUGCACCACUGCGUCACUGCACUCCAUCCUGGUGACAGAGCGAGACUCUGUCU